Triticum dicoccoides is the source of this 2086-nucleotide RNA transcript. It is a transcript of the gene named protein ALTERED PHOSPHATE STARVATION RESPONSE 1-like, with no coding region annotated. NCBI's taxonomy places the organism in Eukaryota, Viridiplantae, Streptophyta, Magnoliopsida, Poales, Poaceae. The transcript is spliced from 4 exons. The record is from RefSeq and is a predicted model, not a curated record.
UUAUCUCCUUGCCGCCCCACCUCAGCCUUUCACCCCUGCUUUGCCUUUCUCUCCCCCGACGCCUCUCCUCGUCCUCCACUACCCACGUUUCCCCCAACCAACCCCGCCGCCACCGCCGACGGCGACGACCUCCUCUCCCCCAACCCCACCGCCGGCGCCCCCACCUCACGCGCGGAUCCUCCUCCUCGCCGUGUCCUUGUGCCGGCCCCAAACCCUAGCUAGGGGCCCCCUUCUCCGGGUGCGGCACGGCGCGGGGAGGGCUCCCUCUUGCCCGCCGCUGAUGCAGACGGCCCGCCGGAGGUCUUGCUACUUGCUCCUCCGACCCUCCUCCUACUGCUGCUAGUGCGGACCGACGCCAUGGAGGUCAUGUGCAGGCGGGGAAGGAAAGCAUGGCGCGCCUGGUGCGCGAGCACGAGGGCGCCGGCCUGCUCGUCGAGCGUGUCCGCGGCGUCCCCGCCGAGUUCAUCAAGCUGUCCGCGCCCAUGGGGAUUCUGGGCAGAGCCGCUUCUGAGAUGCAGAUGAAGGAUCUUACCUACAUCAGUAACUCGACUAAUGCACCAAGUGUUUGAGAUGUGGCGUCAGACCGUCAGUAAUGUGUUCGUGUGCUCAUUGUUUAGGAUAGUGGUGGUAGACUGGUAGCUUCCCAUAUCGCAUAUACCACUUGUCCUUGCUUGGCGUCAUUUUAUUUUGAGAAUCAGUACUACUUGCCCAAUGUCCAGUAGUUUGUUUUAGAUGUUCGAGAGCUAAAUCAGUGAUUCUCUAAGUAUAUUGAACUGAAUCUCGCAAAUGCUUUUGGCCUUCAUAUGCCUCUUAUCUAGAAAAUUCAAGUCCCUUUCCGUUAUGCUAUUAUGCCUCCCCACAAAAUUCUUGGAUCCCUCUCUCUUGCUACUUAACAUGCUGUGCAAGUGUACAACUUAUACGUGAAUACACUAGAAAAACAUGAUAUGCUUUAUUUGUUCUCGUAUAAAUCCAACAAAGUAGUAAAUGCACUUGUCUUACAUAUAUCAGACAGAGUGGGGUAACCUCUGCAAAUAAACAGCAGGCAAUUUGCCUUCAGUAGCAAUGGUUCUGCAUAUAGAUACAAAAAAUGUUCGAUCUUUGCGCGUUAUUUUAUAACCUGUAAGACAUAAUUUCGUGUGCUGCUCUAUUCUCCGAAUAUUGGUAUACAACUGAUGUGAUCCUUCAUCGAAUAGUUUUAAACUUUUUCAGCUCAUUUGCCAUGGUAAAGAACUAAAGAUAGGCUGUUUCAUUGUCUUUCACUAAGUAAUCAUGAAAUGUCAGCUUUAUUUUACAGAUUUUAAAGAUACAAAUCUUUGUGAUUCUUUUGAUGUAGAUAGGAAUAGUGCAUACAUGGCUUUGCAGAGUCAAUUUUUUCCCUUUUAUCGCAUCAAAACUUACCACAUACUAUUAUGUGACGCUUUCGCUGACCGCACAAUCGACUGGGCACAACUACGAGGGGCUUAAGCAGGAGCAUGAUAAGAAGGUGGGGCUGCUGACGAAGCAGGAGGUGAGGGGUGUGAACUACCUCAAGAUGGAGAAGAACAGGAUGGAGAUGGAGAGCCUCGAGUCCAAGAUGCUGGUGGCCACCCAGUCCAUCGACACCACCACCUCCGAGAUCAUCAGGCUCAGAGAAUCAGAGCUAUUCCCUCAGCUACUUGAGCUGGUUGCUGGAGGUGAUCGACGCUAACUACCACGGCCCGGUGGCGCUGUGCUCUUCAACCACUCGGAGACGGACUUCGCCGUGAAGCCUGGUUGCUAUGUCGCACAGAUGAUCGUCCAGGUGAUUUCGACGCCGGAGGUCGCUGAGGUGUGGAGGACCUUGACGCCACCGUCCGGGGGAGGGAGGAUUCGAGUCCACCGACGUCUGAACUCCGAGCCUAGGUAGAUACAUCUAGAGAAGUGGUCUGUUUAGGUUGGUGGUAGACCACUAGGGAAGGUAAGAGUGGUAGACCACUAGGGAAGGUACCCAGCUUACGAUGAUGGUUGUGUGGUUGUGUGUGUCUGAUGUUAAAUCGAAUCUUGAGAUGGUUCUGUGACAUGUUAAAUGGAAUAUUGAGAUGGUUCAGUGACAUUCGUUUGUUUUGCA